CCUACGGGGGGCUGCAGUGGGGAAUAUUGGACAAUGGGGGGAACCCUGAUCCAGCCAUGCCGCGUGUGUGAAGAAGGCCCUCGGGUUGUAAAGCACUUUCAGUGAGGAAGAACGCCUGGUGGUUAAUACCCAUCAGGAAAGACAUCACUCACAGAAGAAGCACCGGCUAACUCCGUGCCAGCAGCCGCGGUAAUACGGAGGGUGCGAGCGUUAAUCGGAAUUACUGGGCGUAAAGCGCGCGUAGGUGGCUUGAUAAGCCGGUUGUGAAAGCCCCGGGCUCAACCUGGGAACGGCAGCCGGAACUGGCAAGCUAGAGGGCAGGAGAGGAAGAUGGAAUUGCCGGUGGAGCGGUGAAAUGCGUAGAGAUCGGCAGGAAUACCGGUGGUGAAGGCGGCCUUCUGGACUGGCCCUGACACUGAGGCGCGAAAGCGUGGGUAGCAAACAGGAUUAGAUACCCCAGUAGUC
Molecule: ribosomal RNA, 465 nt
Filed under: Vreelandella stevensii
Lineage: Bacteria; Pseudomonadati; Pseudomonadota; Gammaproteobacteria; Oceanospirillales; Halomonadaceae
Description: partial 16S ribosomal RNA
Rfam family: Bacterial small subunit ribosomal RNA
Source: RNAcentral